RNAcentral lists this ribosomal RNA (38 nucleotides) under Cladosporium cladosporioides. Its description in RNAcentral is "partial 28S ribosomal RNA". RNAcentral also lists the same sequence under 6 other names. The record is from RNAcentral. Lineage: Eukaryota; Fungi; Ascomycota; Dothideomycetes; Cladosporiales; Cladosporiaceae.
GACCUCGGAUCAGGUAGGGAUACCCGCUGAACUUAAGC